GACGAACGCUGGCGGCGUGCUUAACACAUGCAAGUCGAACGGAAAGGCCCUGCUUUUGUGGGGUGCUCGAGUGGCGAACGGGUGAGUAACACGUGAGUAACCUGCCCUUGACUUUGGGAUAACUUCAGGAAACUGGGGCUAAUACCGGAUAGGAGCUCCUGCUGCAUGGUGGGGGUUGGAAAGUUUCGGCGGUUGGGGAUGGACUCGCGGCUUAUCAGCUUGUUGGUGGGGUAGUGGCUUACCAAGGCUUUGACGGGUAGCCGGCCUGAGAGGGUGACCGGCCACAUUGGGACUGAGAUACGGCCCAGACUCCUACGGGAGGCAGCAGUGGGGAAUAUUGCACAAUGGGCGGAAGCCUGAUGCAGCAACGCCGCGUGCGGGAUGACGGCCUUCGGGUUGUAAACCGCUUUCGCCUGUGACGAAGCGUGAGUGACGGUAAUGGGUAAAGAAGCACCGGCUAACUACGUGCCAGCAGCCGCGGUGAUACGUAGGGUGCGAGCGUUGUCCGGAUUUAUUGGGCGUAAAGGGCUCGUAGGUGGUUGAUCGCGUCGGAAGUGUAAUCUUGGGGCUUAACCCUGAGCGUGCUUUCGAUACGGGUUGACUUGAGGAAGGUAGGGGAGAAUGGAAUUCCCGGUGGAGCGGUGGAAUGCGCAGAUAUCAGGAGGAACACCAGUGGCGAAGGCGGUUCUCUGGGCCUUUCCUGACGCUGAGGAGCGAAAGCGUGGGGAGCGAACAGGCUUAGAUACCCUGGUAGUCCACGCUGUAAACGGUGGGUACUAGGUGUGGGGUCCAUUCCACGGGUUCCGUGCCGUAGCUAACGCUUUAAGUACCCCGCCUGGGGAGUACGGCCGCAAGGCUAAAACUCAAAGGAAUUGACGGGGCCCCGCACAAGCGGCGGAGCAUGCGGAUUAAUUCGAUGCAACGCGUAGAACCUUACCUGGGUUUGACAUGGAUCGGGAGUGCUCAGAGAUGGGUGUGCCUCUUUUGGGGUCGGUUCACAGGUGGUGCAUGGCUGUCGUCAGCUCGUGUCGUGAGAUGUUGGGUUAAGUCCCGCAACGAGCGCAACCCUUGUUCACUGUUGCCAGCACGUUAUGGUGGGGACUCAGUGGAGACCGCCGGGGUCAACUCGGAGGAAGGUGGGGAUGACGUCAAGUCAUCAUGCCCCUUAUGUCCAGGGCUUCACGCAUGCUACAAUGGCUGGUACAGAGAGUGGCGAGCCUGUGAGGGUGAGCGAAUCUCGGAAAGCCGGUCUCAGUUCGGAUUGGGGUCUGCAACUCGACCUCAUGAAGUCGGAGUCGCUAGUAAUCGCAGAUCAGCAACACUGCGGUGAAUACGUUCCCGGG
Molecule: ribosomal RNA, 1343 nt
Filed under: uncultured bacterium
Lineage: Bacteria
Description: 16S ribosomal RNA
Rfam family: Bacterial small subunit ribosomal RNA
Source: RNAcentral